AUGUCAGAGUACAAGGAGAAGAUAGGGUUGAAGUGCCAGUUCCUCAUUGAACCCAAGCCUAAAGAGCCAUGCAAACAUCAGUACGACUAUGAUGCAAUGAGUGUCAUAGGCUUCCUGAAGCAUUAUGACCUGGACAGCCAUUUCAAACUGAACAUCGAACCCAACCACACCACUCUGGCUGGGCAUUCCUAUGAACACGACGUCGUCAUGGCCUCUGUGUUUGGCAUGCUGGGCUUUGUGGACUCCAACACAGGUUCUCCUGACCUGGGCUGGGACACAGACCAGUUCCCCAUGGACAUCAGGAACACCACCAUGAUCAUGAAGACUGUGAUAGAACAGGGUGGUCUGCAGCCGGGGGGUCUGAACUUCGAUGCUAAGGUGCGUAGGGAGUCCACGGACUUGGAGGACCUGUUCAUAGCCCACGUCGGAGCCAUGGACGCCUUCGCACGCGGCCUGAGGAACGCGGUCAGGAUCAUAGAGGAAGGAGUUAUCACCAGCAUGGUCAAGGAGCGCUACAUGAGCUUCAGCCAUGGGAUUGGUCAGAAAGUAGAGGAUGUCAGCGCCUCAUUGGAGGAGUUGGAGGACUUUGUCAAGCAAAAUGAGCAGCCCAAAGUCACAUCAGGAGAAAUUUGA
This 633-nucleotide long non-coding RNA is filed under the name Oncorhynchus mykiss (rainbow trout). Its description in RNAcentral is "lncRNA (ENSOMYG00000070927.1)". The record is from RNAcentral. Lineage: Eukaryota; Metazoa; Chordata; Actinopteri; Salmoniformes; Salmonidae.